GAUGAAUGCUGGCGGCGUGCCUAACACAUGCAAGUCGAGCGGCAGCGCGGGGUGCUUGCACCCUGUCGGCUAGCGGCGAACGGCUGAGUAACGCGUAGGAAUUUGCCCCAAAGUGAGGAAUAACUGCCCGAAAGGGUAGCUAAUGCCGCAUAUGGUCUUCGGAUUACAGGAUUUAUCCGCUUUAGGCGAAGCCUGCGUUGGAUUAGGUUGUUGGUAGGGUAAUGGCCUACCAAGCCGACGAUCCAUAGCUGGUCUGAGAGGAUGAUCAGCCAGACUGGAACGGAGACACGGUCCGGACUCCUACGGGAGGCAGCAGUGAGUAAUCUUCCACAGUGGGCGAAAGCCUGAUGGAGCAACGACGCGUGAAGGAUGAAGGCAUUCGGGUUGUAAUCUUCUUUUAUGAGUGAAGAAUAUGACGGUAACUAAUGAAAAAGCACCGGCUAACUACGUG
This 451-nucleotide ribosomal RNA is filed under the name uncultured bacterium. RNAcentral's name for it is "partial 16S ribosomal RNA". It matches the Rfam family "Bacterial small subunit ribosomal RNA", at positions 28 to 507 of the family's 1533-position model. The record is from RNAcentral.